AUGGAGAGGUUCCCCGGCAAGGUCGCCGCCGCCGUGUUCGCAGCCGCCGGGAUGCCGUGCGUUGGCAAGCACAUGGGCGUCACCACCGAGGAGUUCAUGCGAAGGACAUCAUCGGAAGGACUCAUGGACUGCAAGAUGCUGCCAAUCAAUAACAACCACGGUGCAGGGGUUGCAAUGAUAAUGGGCCCAAACUUCUUAGCACGCAAGAACUACCAGCAAAGUUCACCUGAGGAUUUGGCCCUGGCAAAAAUGUUGGUGAGACCGGGAAACCUGUUCAUGGAGGAUCCGGUGAUGAAGGAUGCAAGCCUGCUCACCGAUACCAACUACGGGUCGGUGAAGAAGGUAUAUGUGGUAGCAAAGGCUGAUGGCUCCAGCACCAAGGAGAUGCAGCGUUGGAUGGUGUUGUUGAGCCCCGGCACGGAGGCCGAGGAGAUCGCGGGAGCUGACCACGCCAUCAUGAGCUCGAGGCCUAGGGAGCUCUGUGAUGCUCUGGUCAAGAUCGCCGACAGCUUAAAUACUUGCUAA
RNAcentral lists this ribosomal RNA (525 nucleotides) under Triticum aestivum (bread wheat). RNAcentral describes it as "partial small subunit ribosomal RNA". Lineage: Eukaryota; Viridiplantae; Streptophyta; Magnoliopsida; Poales; Poaceae. The record is from RNAcentral.